GAGGGUAUAGCUCAGUGGUAGAGCACAUGCUUAGCAUGCACGAGGUCCUGGGUUCAAUCCCCAGUACCUCCA
Transfer RNA from Camelus ferus (Wild Bactrian camel), 72 nucleotides. It matches the Rfam family "tRNA". From Rfam's summary of the family: Transfer RNA (tRNA) molecules are approximately 80 nucleotides in length. The record is from Rfam. Lineage: Eukaryota; Metazoa; Chordata; Mammalia; Artiodactyla; Camelidae.